This is a long non-coding RNA of Lytechinus pictus (painted urchin), 3274 nucleotides long. RefSeq lists it as uncharacterized. NCBI's taxonomy places the organism in Eukaryota, Metazoa, Echinodermata, Echinoidea, Temnopleuroida, Toxopneustidae. The record is from RefSeq and is a predicted model, not a curated record. The transcript is spliced from 3 exons.
ACCUUCAAUUUUAUGAACGACAUUAUGGUGUAUUUAGAUUUCUUAACACCACACUUUUUCAUAAACUGUUCUAGUCUUGUACGUUUUCUAUUUUUGCUGUUGCAUCAUAGAAUUUGACUUAUUUUUACUUUUUUGCUAAAAAUGUUUAAGUGUUUGAAAGGGCUAUAUCCAGACAUUAAAGGUUGCAUAAUAUUUUGUAAAUUAAACUGACGUUUAAAGAAAGAAAAAAAAAUGUGCAGAUAAGUCUGCCUUCAUGAAAAUUUGGACUGUUCUUAAUAAAGACAGCACUCUUCAGGUGAUUGCUUGAUUCAAAAUGUUCUUGCAAUGUCACUUUUGUCGGCCAUCUUUGGAAUCUUACGUCUGCAAUGUAUGUGUCAACGCAACGUUCUAGCAUGGAGCUAUAAAACACAGUAAUAGCUCCAUGGUUAUAGUCAACAGUAUACAUGUACAUGUAGUGAUGUUCAUUAGCGCGCAUUAUCAUUCUGAACUUCAAACAAGCAUUUGCAGUACUGAUAACUUAACUUCGAUAGCGCUACCAUGAGUUGAAGAUUGAAAAGGUCUUGGGAUACAAACCAAUAAUGCACCAUUUACUCCAGUUUAAUCUUGUGCAUCAUGUGUUUUUAGAACUAAAGUUUCUUGGUAUAAAGCGUUAAGAAAAUAAAAUUGAAAGAAUCAAUGAACAGCAUAUGCUAGUCUGUGUUAAUAAACAUUCAAUGAGGAAGGGGGUUUCCCCAUGCCAUAAAUCAUGCUAUUCAAUUAUUAUUACACAAGAUAUGUUCUUUAUAUGGGCAGGUUUUCUGGCAUGAAUCUUCAAGUACAUUUGUUUGUAGGCUGUAAAAGGUACAAAGUUCUAACAACAAACAUCGGCUGAACUUUGAAUGCAUACGUGGACAAAGUUGUCCAGCGUGCAAAUCCACUGCACUAUUGAAUCAUAAUAGUAUUAACUUCAUAGAAAUCCUGUUGACAUUUUUUAUAGCAACUCUUUUCAGGGAAUGAUUUUCCUGGUAUCACAUCGCAAUUUGCUCCACAUGUUUGAAAGACUGCUAAUGCAUAAAGUCUUUUGUAUAGCAUAUUUUUACAUAGGACUGUACAUUACUUAGAUGAUAGCUUUUCUCUUAUGACCAAAAAUGCUAUUCAAAUUUGUAAAGCCAAAUUAUUCCCUGCUUUUUGUUCUAUCUUUCAAUUGACAUUGCCAAUACUUGUAUCAAGAGCUGUAAUGAAGAAACAUCAUUUUUAAAGCAUCAUCUUGAUAAUGUGAUUUAUUUUUUCAGAAGAAAUUUACUAUGUGAGAUAUUUAGCCAACUGUACAUUGUGCAAUUGAAUAUCGACAAAUGAAAUACUUUUGAAAUGAGAGCAAUAUCUUGACCAAGUUGUAUUAUGAUAUUGGUAUAUUUUAAUCAUGCUUGUUUAUAUCCUCAUAAUGACAGAUUCUGCAAUGUGUUAUUCAUAUAAAAAAGCUGAAAUACUUUGAAUAAUGAUUUUAAAAAAGAAUACAGAUACUUCCUUUUUUUAAAAAUACGAGAACAUCUCAUUUAUUUAUACAUCUCAUUUAUUCCAACUGUCUCAUUUUUUUUCUUCAAAAACAUCUGGGCUUUUUAUCAAUAGUUUUUUUUUUUACCAGUGCUUUGAAUUAGGGUGGGAGUUUCAAUAUUUUUAAAUACAUUUAAAUGAAAUAAACCAACUUUAUAAAGUACAUCAUUCUCUCUAACUCUCUUUCUUUGUUCCCCCCUCUUUGAAGUAUAUUUGUUUCAAACCUCAUAAUUUUUCACGUUUUAAAUAUAGAUUAUGGAGGACAUGCGGUAAUUUUAGAUCUCUCAAUCUUUUUCUACAGAUUUGUCUGAUAGCGGGUGUGGCCUGAUGUUUUGACUGAUCACCGACCAUCAUUUUGAAGGGAGGACGACGAUGGUAACGGAAGUACACCUUUGCCUGGGUGUGCACAUUUGUGUAGGAUGACAACUUCUAGUAUCAUGAAGCUUAUGAAUACAAUCAUCACAUGAGGAUUUGUAUCGCAGUAUCUGUGGUCUUCAAGAAGCCAGAGGAAUUCCAUCUAGGAUCAGUAUGAAGUAGCUACAAUGAAAGAGGACAUUUCUUCAUAUCAUCUACAUUCUGUCAACACAGAGGAUGUGUAUAAAGCUAUUUGCAGCGUUCAUGCUGCCUUGAAAAUAUGUCCCAGUAGAACCUCUUGUAGUAUUUACAUGGUCUUGUUAGCAUUAAUUCUUGUAUUGCAAAGGGGAGGGUGAUGUUGAAUUAUUCUAAUUUGCGAAUCCAGUAUCUACAUCAUCCAUGUAGGCAGUAUAUACCGUUAAACCUGUCUUGUCAACUACCGGUCUAUAGUGAAAAACCUUCCUUUGGGUGACCGUAAUAUACAGGUUUGGUAAUAUACAGGUUUGAAAAUACUUUUUGUCUUUACCAUGCUUUAGAAUUUACAACUACACUGUAGAUGGAUUCUCAACUGCACAAGUCAAAAUUUAUGCCUUCAUAUCUGACCUUUAUUGCAUACUUUAUUCUGAUAUUGUGAAAAGACCAUCAAAUCACAGGCAUUAGAUUAUCUCUAUGACCUUUUACCUUGUGAUCUGCAAAAUUUUAGAUCACCAUCACUCUAGUAUGCAUACAUGACCCAAGUUUGAAGUUGAUUUUAUCAAACAGUUCUUGAGUUAUUGCAAGAACAAGGCUUUCAAGUUAUACAAUGACCUCUGUGACCUUCAACCUUUGACCUCCACACCCCAUAACGAAUUAGGUCAUUGUCACUCCCAUAUGCAUACAUGAUCUAAAUAUAAAGUCAAUCUGUCAAACGCUUCUUGAACUGUCACGAGAGCGAAUUUUGCGGUGAAAUAAUUGACAAGACUAUUUGAAAUAUCCCUGGGAAUGUCGCUUACAACCCUGUAAGUGCUGCUUUCUUUUCUUUCGUCAGAAUACAGGGAUGAGAAAACGUUACAUGAUUCCAUUCGACAGAUUCCAGCUUUGCCAACUGCUUAUAAAGUAGUACUGAGUAUGUUGCAUUUUUAAUUUAGACGGUAUUCACAAUAAUGCUUUCCAAAUUGUUUAAUGGAAUCUGUUGACUCAUGAGACCUUUGUGGUUUAGCCAUAGUAAACCGAUCUAUUUUGGAAGAUAACAUUUACAAAUUGGUUAUUGUUGGUGUAACCCAUUCAAACAAAAUGUUGAUAAUCGUGUCCAUCGUGAUCUAUGAAUGGAUAUUCCAUGGUGAUAAAAAUUUUAUUAGAUAGAAAUUUGUGAUUCACUUUUGUGAGAAUAAAUUAGAAGAGAAUAAUCCAA